RNAcentral lists this ribosomal RNA (496 nucleotides) under uncultured bacterium. RNAcentral describes it as "partial 16S ribosomal RNA". It matches the Rfam family "Bacterial small subunit ribosomal RNA", at positions 28 to 507 of the family's 1533-position model. The record is from RNAcentral.
GAUGAACGCUGGCGGCGUGCCUAAUACAUGCAAGUCGAGCGAACAGACGAGGAGCUUGCUCCUCUGACGUUAGCGGCGGACGGGUGAGUAACACGUGGAUAACCUACCUAUAAGACUGGAUAACUUCGGGAAACCGGAGCUAAUACCGGAUAAUAUAUUUAACCGCAUGGUUCAAUAGUGAAAGACGGUUUUGCUGUCACUUAUAGAUGGAUCCGCGCCGCAUUAGCUAGUUGGUAAGGUAACGGCUUACCAAGGCAACGAUGCGUAGCCGACCUGAGAGGGUGAUCGGCCACACUGGAACUGAGACACGGUCCAGACUCCUACGGGAGGCAGCAGUAGGGAAUCUUCCGCAAUGGGCGAAAGCCUGACGGAGCAACGCCGCGUGAGUGAUGAAGGUCUUCGGAUCGUAAAACUCUGUUAUUAGGGAAGAACAAAUGUGUAAGUAACUAUGCACGUCUUGACGGUACCUAAUCAGAAAGCCACGGCUAACUACGUG